RNAcentral lists this ribosomal RNA (434 nucleotides) under uncultured bacterium. RNAcentral describes it as "partial 16S ribosomal RNA". It matches the Rfam family "Bacterial small subunit ribosomal RNA", at positions 29 to 507 of the family's 1533-position model. The record is from RNAcentral.
AGCGAACGCUGGCGGCAGGCCUAACACAUGCAAGUCGAACGAACCUUUCGGGGUUAGUGGCGGACGGGUGAGUAACACGUGGGAACGUGCCUUUAGGUUCGGAAUCACUCAGGGAAACAUGUGCUAAUACCGAAUGUGCCCUUCGGGGGAAAGAUUACUCGCCGUUAGAGCGGCCUGGGUCUGUUUAGCUAGUUGGUUGAGGUAAUGGCUCACCAAGGCGACGAUCAGUAGCUGGUCUGAGAGGAUGAUCAGCCACAUUGGGACUGAGACACGGCCCAAACUCCUACGGGAGGCAGCAGUGGGGAAUCUUGCGCAAUGGGCGAAAGCCUGACGCAGCCAUGCCGCGUGAAUGAUGAAGGUCUUAGGAUUGUAAAAUUCUUUCACCGGGGACGAUAAUGACGGUACCCGGAGAAGAAGCCCCGGCUAACUUCGUG